UUUUUUUCCAUUUAAGAAUCAUUUCCUCCCUCUAAAGUUGAACCAAAUACAUAAAUUCGAAGGAAUUAAAAUCCUUUUCUCUAGAAUUCUGUUACGCCUGGAUUAAGCCGUCAACAAAUGUGGAUGUUGAUCAUGGCCCGUCAGCUUGACUGGCCAGUAAGGAAGUCUGAUAGGGUGGCAGUGAAACCCGUUUGGCAGAAAGAUUAUCAGAUGGGUAAAGUCAGGAAGUAGGGUAAGAUUGGUUCCAUGCUUUUAAAGUAUUCCUUAGGAUUUGGAUUUCUGUUUGGAUUGAUCUUUUGGGAUUUCUAUUUUGAACUUGAUUUAUCCUUUCGUUGUUAUUAUUUAAACACUAGCAAAGGAAUGGAAUACAAUAUUUUUUUUUUUCUAUCUUCUUUCUUUCAAUUUCUCAGGGAGUUUGCACUCACUCAAAGUAGUUCUCGUUGACCACAUAGGCUUGAGUGUAUCAAAUUCCAUUCAUUUAUUGCCAACCAAACAACACCUUAUGUCUAUAGUAACAUGGCAAUUAACCUAAAGCUUUGAACAAUUUUAUCAGAAGUAAAUGAGAUAAAGAAAUUCAAUUUGGAUUAAAUAUGAAGUAGAGUUAAUGAUCAGAAAUGGAUUUUGUCACAAAUGUCCAUCGGCUUUUCAUACUUUAUUUAUCUUUUUAUAAUAUUAGCUGCCAUCAAAGUUCUUGACUUUCUGAGCUUAUAAUGGGGUGAUACAUAGCUAAACGGCUAAACACAACUAAAUUAAGCUUAUGUUUACCUCACUUGAAUAAAGUUAAUUAGUUAAGAAUGCGGAUUUCUAGGCUUAUAGUUUUAUUUAUAUUUUAAGUAUACGAGUGUAUAUAACCUGGUUUAACUUACACCUUGUUUAUAUUUCUAUUACAAUUGCAUAUAAUUUUGCAGAACUCAGCCAAACAUUAGUGUAUCCGGAAAUCAAAAACACAUUUUGUGUUCAAGCAACUCACUAAUGCAUGCAUCAAGAAUUAUCCAAGCUCCUUGAUCCACAAUAUGAAAAUGCAGUUUUUACCAUCUUCAUUACUUUAAUAUGGUUUUUUUGGACAUACCGCAAC
RNAcentral lists this long non-coding RNA (1075 nucleotides) under Lactuca sativa (garden lettuce). RNAcentral's name for it is "long non-coding RNA (LSAT_LNC008737)". The record is from RNAcentral. Lineage: Eukaryota; Viridiplantae; Streptophyta; Magnoliopsida; Asterales; Asteraceae.